UAUUAUCAAUAAGUAAUAUUUAUAAUCAGUUUGCAAAGCAUAGCCUUCAAAAUAGAAAAUAUCACUAAAGCAUUGCCUUAUUCCUACCACAAACUAAAAAGCAUGUUAUAAAAGCCAUCUGCAUAGUUGUUUACAACCUCUCAAAAUCUAAAACACAAUCUUACCAAAACUCAAUCAACCCUAAAUGAAACCUAUCUUGACGUUUAUUUCAAAU
This 214-nucleotide long non-coding RNA is filed under the name Physcomitrium patens. Its description in RNAcentral is "long non-coding RNA (PPAT_LNC009426)". Lineage: Eukaryota; Viridiplantae; Streptophyta; Bryopsida; Funariales; Funariaceae. The record is from RNAcentral.